Cercophora sp. LCS_1 is the source of this 93-nucleotide non-coding RNA. The record is from the annotation of a GenBank genome assembly. NCBI's taxonomy places the organism in Eukaryota, Fungi, Ascomycota, Sordariomycetes, Sordariales, Lasiosphaeriaceae.
UCUUCCGUAGUAUAGUGGUCAGUAUGUGAGCUUGUCAUUUCAUAUCAGAAUUCGACUUCGCUCGAGACCCGGGUUCAAUUCCCGGCGGGAGAG